AGUGAACGCUGGCGGUAGGCCUAACACAUGCAAGUCGAACGGCAGCACAGUAAGAGCUUGCUCUUACGGGUGGCGAGUGGCGGACGGGUGAGGAAUACAUCGGAAUCUACUUUUUCGUGGGGGAUAACGUAGGGAAACUUACGCUAAUACCGCAUACGACCUACGGGUGAAAGCAGGGGAUCUUCGGACCUUGCGCGAUUGAAUGAGCCGAUGUCGGAUUAGCUAGUUGGCGGGGUAAAGGCCCACCAAGGCGACGAUCCGUAGCUGGUCUGAGAGGAUGAUAAGCCAAACUGGAACUGAGACACGGUCCAGACUCCUACGGGAGGCAGAAGUGGGGAAUAUUGGACAAUGGGCGCAAGCCUGAUCCAGCCAUACGGGGUGGGUGAAGAAGGCCUUCGGGUGGUAAAGCCCUUUUGUUGGGAAAGAAAAGCAGCAGGUUAAUACCCCGCUGUUCUGACGGUACCCAAAGAAUAAGCACCGGCUAACUUCGU
This 491-nucleotide ribosomal RNA is filed under the name uncultured bacterium. Its description in RNAcentral is "partial 16S ribosomal RNA". It matches the Rfam family "Bacterial small subunit ribosomal RNA", at positions 29 to 506 of the family's 1533-position model. The record is from RNAcentral.